AGCCUGGUACUAUUCAAUUGGCACAACUGGCAUCCGGAAAGGGGUCCAUCUGAUCCGAGAGGGUCAAUUUCAGAAGCAUGAGACAGAGCCGGACUUCCACAAAAGUACAAAGACACUAUUAGCUUUUAAGCCCUCCCCAGAGAGCUACCCCCCAAGUGCUGGUCUCCUUGCUAGCCUUCAUCAAGUUGAUUUUCAUUCCCAACUUUAGCCCUAAAACAUUCCUCCCAGGUUAACAUUUUCCUGCAGCCAACCUAUUCUAUUACAGCUCUUGCAAGUUAUUUGAUGAACUAAUUUGAGUUUUACACCCUCCUCACUCUCCCAUCUGGGUAGCAUAUGUUCAUCCGGCUACUGAACAUUUAUUGAGCAAUAUCAUGUGAAAAUAUCCUUGCUAGGUAUCGACAGUGUAGAGGAAGAAUUGAGAAAGCAAGGUCCCUAUCUUACAGGAACGUAUCAUCUGAUAAGGGAGCAAAGAGGAGCAGAAAUAAUCACAGCAGAAAGCACAAAGUGUUCGGGAGCAUGACAAAUAUUAAAAGCACAGUGACUUUUCUGGAGAGAAAGCGUCCCCAACAUUUUAAGGCUCAGAUUCAGGGACACCACAGAUCAUGUCGAAAGCAGGUCAACAAAAUGUCAGUAAAAAUCAGCAAUUAUGCAAAAAAGGUAGGACACACAAAAAAAUCUACUGAAUAUGUGCAAGGCACACUGCUAUGGGAGUUGUACUCUUUCCAGAGAUAAAGCUUUUACAGGAAAAAGAAAAAAGGAAACAGAAAAGGUUUUGAUAUUGAUCUAGCAACACUGCCAUCCAGAAACAGCAGGUUAUUUUGUUCCAAAAAUCUAUAAGGCAAUCAAUUCCUGAUUAAGAAUUGUUUAUUAUUCUUCAUAGAGAUGAUCUAGCAUUUCUACAUCCGUACAAACCAACUAAUUUCCACUCAUUUAAUUUUAAAAAGAGAUGUCUACUCUACGAGUUUAAAGAACAAAGGAUGUACAGAGAUUAAGCAGAGAUGGUGUCUGAAUGGGUGUUACACUCUUUUGUUACGAAAGCAUAUCGCUCCAGCGCCUCAAUCCCAUCUUUCUUUUUUAACCCGCCACACUUGAAAAAGUCUGCAGAAAUGUGAAUCUGGUUUCAUGAUCAUGAAGUAUUUUUGAGGCCAAUUAGGGGAAACUGAUGAAGGAUAUUAGAUACAAUGAUGCACGUGUAAUCACUGAUUUAUAGAUUUCCUCCUCUACCUGCUAAUUCAUUCCUGCUGAUAGUCAGGGUUUUCAAGGUCUUCACUUUUUUUCAGAUCCCAAUUACUCAAUGUAAACAAAUGAAGAGGAAGUACGGGUAUUCAAUGUGAUUCAUUUGAACAGAAGGUAGGAAACAUUAGUAUCGAUGUAGUCCAGGACUUGCAAGCAAAGCACAACUAAAUUUAGCAGCCAGUGAUAUUGAUUUGAUUAAAAAUGGUUUAAGACUUGUAAAUGUCACUAGAACUUAGCAAAAUGAAUAUUAUUAAAUCCUUCUGGUGAUGGGGAAAACUAACAAAGGGAUUUGCAGUGGUUUCUGUAAUUAAUUGCUCUGUCAUGAUUUAUAUUAACUUACAGUACAACUCCAUUAGCUCAGACCUGUCAUCUCUGCUCAAGGAACCACCAAGUAAUCACUAGCACAUUAAAGAAUAAAUUAGUUUUUGGCUUGGAGCCUAGUUGUAGAAUGUUUCAUUUGUGUCUGCUGCAGACAUAUGUACCUAAUAAAGUUGGGACGAAUGAGUUAAAGUACAUAUAUAUCAAUGUCAGCGGGUUAUAUUUUAGAGACAAUACGCUCAGCAUUGUUCAUUAGGGCUAAUGAAUCACGGUCUUUCAGCUGCAUCACCGUAUUGCGCAAAUGCCUUCAGGUAAGCUGAGAUGCAAAAGAUUCCUUGAAAAUAGGUACGUCUCCAGAGAGUUUACCCUCUUAGCAGUCUGUGGCCUGUGGUUGUAAUAAUAGCUUCAUGUGGUUUUUGUUAACACUUCAUUACCCUAAAGUUGGAUAAAUUAUCCUCCUGCUUCUGCCCUACAUGCAAACGCAGAGCCAAAGCCUUAGCUACUAUUACUUACCGUAGAUUAUGGGGAUUUGUAAGGUUCUAUCAAAUCAUCUUUGACUUUGAUAGUUGGAUGAUACCUUAAGCAGUGCUUGAUAGAAGACUGUUUUACAUUUCAAAGAAAGCUCCAAUUGCCUUGAGGGUUUGUAGGCUAAAACUUGAACCACUUCCUUUUCAUUUCAGGCUCAGGAAAGCUAAAUUGGCAUUCUGCUGGCCGGGAUGAUAACUGACACAGAGCAAAACCUGUGGGGCAAUAUUUAUGGAGGCUGUGCCCAGCAAAGCUUGUGGCCCCAAGAGUUCACCCAAAUCUGCAAGGCUCCAAGGGCAAAGUCAUUUCAGCUCAAAAUCUUUGGGCACUACCCAGACGUUCAUAAUUCGUCCUGGAUCAUUUCUGCAAUUUGAAUCAUCAGAUGUCAGUGACUCCUUCACAGAUGCUACGCCUGCAGUGCAAGGAGCUUGCUACACAGGGGCUUCUCCUGCCUGGCUGAAUAGAGUGACAAAUGUCCAAAAUGCAGAAAGACUGCAGCCUUAGCCAGCUGGAAAAUGCAUACAUUAUUGAGGAUAAAAUAUGAAGAGUGUGAGUCGAUCUGUGAAAUAUGGGGAAGCUUAUUUUUGCUCUUCUAAUGUGCUAAGUGAUUAGAUUUCAUAUUUACAGUGAGUGGGGCCGAUAGCUUUUUCACUUAAUUGGAAGAAAACCUGGAAGCCCCCUCUCCCAGCAAAAAAAUUAUUCUGUGUCCUACAUAUCAUCGUAUAUCCCCAACUUCGUUAUAAAUAACGAACAAAGCAAAGAAGUAUUUUCUCCUGAAAUGAAACACAUGUUUCUUGCUUUCUUUCUUUUUUUUUUUUUUUUUUAAAUGAUGUCAGGAGAGGAAGGAGUAACUUGCCAAGAUGAGGAGUGGGGAGGAAUGAUGAUAGGAAGAUGGUAAUUUAAGUAAUGGUUCAAGAGAGAUACAAAGUUUUCUGUACAAAAGGAAUUACUUCUAAAUAUUUCUAAAUAUUGGUUUCAGCUCACUAAUAGAUAAAGAAGGAAACAGGAAGCCAUGAAGUUUUCCAGUUAUUCCUGUGAAGUCCUUACGAAAAUUUCCCCCUUGUACCCAGACGAGAUUUAAAAAUAAUGUUUGAAAUAACUUCUCAGCAAAGUUGUCUCAUUUAUUUUUACGGAAUUUUGUGAUGAUUUACCUUUAAUUCUAACAUAUCAGCAAUUAGAUACAAAAAAAAUAUAUCCCCAACUAGACUUCAAUAGUAGAACAGCCAGGAAUUUAACAUUUGUUCAGUUUUUAGUGAAAUAUUCCACCAAACUAAGGAUAAAAUGAAAACAGGGGAGGCAAAGAAGGGGGGGGGGAUCAGUCAAUUCUUUAAUCAAAUGGAUUUGCUUGGCUGAUUAUUUUUUAUGAAAUCCCCCCUUAUUUUCAGGUCUUUCUUAUUUUCCGUUGUUCUUAGAGGCAAGCCAGAUGCAUUCAGAGAGAAUUCACAGACUCGUGUGUAGAUGGAAUUAAGAGGAGCUACAUGUAACACAAAGAGAAUCCUUUCCUUAGGCGGUGCUUUGUGAUUCCUGCCCUUUUGUUUAUGCUUCCCCAAAGGAUUUGGAAAUAUCAAAUACAGGUUCUAAAUCUAUUAGAACAGUAGAUUCCCCAUGGACAAAAAAGAAGCACAUGCAGAUCAAACAUCCAGAUUUUCUAAUCUUUCCUGGAUGGGUAACACAGAAGCAGCUGUAUUGUCCAAACAGUUACAAACACAUGGGAGACUCGGAAAGCAUUGACAAUCCCCUUUUUCAUAUUCUUUUGUUUGAAUCAACUAAUCAUCUAGAUAGAGAAAUUAAAAUAUCAUUUUUUUUUCUUGUUUCUCAUGGUCUGUUGGCCAGUUUUUGUAUGCUGGACAACUUCAAACAAAUUAUAUAGCUUUCUCCCUUUUUUUUCCCUCCACUUUGAGCUCUGGCGGAAGUUUCACAUGCAGGGUUGAGCCCCAAGUCCUUCAGUAAAGCAAAUGUUUCAUUUUCAGCAGAGCCCAUAUAUUCCAUUCAGACUCGCUUCUUUCACUUCUAGAUGUAAAGAGCAGCUGUGUCUCCCGAGUUGCUAAAGAAGAUCCUAUGUACAAAGUUAACAAAACACAGCUCGGACAAUGGAUUUGAUCUCUACAGCAGGGAAGCUGUACUUUUCAAAUUCAGCUCUUUCGGGCUCCAACAAAUUACAGGUCCCUGAAAAGAUCUGGUGACCCUUUUUAAGUGUGUUUGUUGAACAAGCUCAGAGGUGACCAUAUGAUUCAGUACAGCGUGUUAACAUUUUGCCAAGCACUAGGGUCCAGGAGAGACUAUCUAUGGACUCUGGGCUCCCUCAGUUGGUGGCACUUAUGGGAUCCUUUAACUCUGCUCAAAUUCUUUAUCCAACCAGUUUCCACUGAUUAAGGGAACUGUUUAACCCUCCACACCCAGGGCCAGAUGCUGAUGCUGAUAUAUGGGUACCUUCUCCCUUUCCCCCACAAGAUACUCUUUUACCUCCUCAGAAUGGUGUAUUUAAAUAUUUGUCCAUCAUUUAUUUGACAGGACAAGAGAAAACAUAUUUUUAUUACCAAACUUAAAUAGCCCUGAGUUUACAUACUUGGGAGACGUUCAAGUACCUAGAAGAUAAAUAAUAAAUAGGUCAUUCCUAUGGAAGAGCAUCAUGCCCUCUAUGUUAGUCUAGUUCAGGUUUUCCACUGACUUCAGAUGAUGGGCCUUUGGGGGCUCAGAGUUAGUGGUGAGGUCUAUGCAAUUUGCUUGUCUUGCCAAAGAUAUGCAGUAAAGUUAGGUCAAAGGUAGAAAAAGGUACUUAUUCCUAAUGUGGCAGAAUCAGUAUUAACUUACAUUUUGUUUUCCAAUUUGGUAUGGUACAUGGGAAUACUAAUUGAAUGGUGUUCUGUGUCUAAUGUAGUGCACUGAUUUUACUGCCUCUUAAAUAUUGGCACGCUGGCCAGCUUCUUUGGGAAACCCAAUCCCUAAAGUGCCUCUGCCUUUCCGUCUUCAAAUUCAAGUUGCUCAUCCUCUUGAGAGGCGCACUGUAACGGAGCAGGACUCUAUGGGGCCUUCCCAGGAUAGAUGCCUCCCCAUAUCCUCUGCUUUAGCUCCUCUCAAGUGCCUAGAUAAUAAUAUCUCAUGCAUAUUUCUCAAGUUGUUUUACAGAUGCUAAAACCACCAUCAAAAUGGAAAAAAUUAACUACUUGAUGAUCAUGAACAUGCAGCCCGAGACCUAGUGACACCUAAGGAUUGAUAAUGUCAAUCCCUGUGGCACUGCCCUGCUACCUGCCUCACCAUCAACCAAUUAGAGAAUUAUGCACAAGCUGAUCAUGUGUCUCUCCCUCACCUUGCCUUUAAAAAAAUGCUCUGCUGAAACCCUUCGGGGAGUUCAGAGGUAUGGGGGGCAGGAGCUACCUAUUCUCUUUGCAUGGCCCUGAAAUAAAUCUCUUUCUGCUCCACAUCCCAAGGUUUCAGUUUGUUUGGUCUCAUGUGUCAGGCACACAGAGCUGUGUUCAGUAACAGGCCUUUUCCUUAUUAGCAAAAGAGGCACAAUAGUCCCUCUUGGAGAAAUAAAUCCUACUGCAUAUUUAUUUCCAUAUAUUACUACUAAUUGAUAUAGGUUUUUCAGCUCUUUUUGUGAACCCACAAGAGAUUGAAUUCUGCCUUCUCUAUUCUCCGCCAUAGUCAGCUUGGGCUCUGGAACUUUACCUAAGUUUCCUCUGGGCAGGAAAUAAAGAUUACUUGAAGUGAUAAUUCAAUGAAGAUUAAAUUUGAAUACAGUGACAAGCAAGUGCCCCACUUUCACAUUCAACAUCUCCAUCUUUACUCACAUUUCUACAUUUUCUACAAAUUUGCAUUUGCAUGUAUAAAUGCUGGCUUAGACAAGGCUCUAGAAGAGGUAUCCUGUUGGAAUCAAAAUUGCCUCAGGUGGUAUUAAAAGCAGCUCUUGUGCCCCUUUCCUGUUUGCCCAUUCUGUUCCCCUCUACCCUUAAAAUAACCUAAUUAUAGGCAUGAGAUCACUAGGCAAUUUAACCUAACUCCUGACUUAAUGUUCUCCUGAAUGCACCCCAUGCCUUGCCUAACCUGUUGAUUUUUCACAGAUAAAAAGAAGGAUGAAGAACUAAGCAGUUAAAAAAUGACUAGCUGUCUAACCCUAACAGCCCCCUUAGCAACCCUGCAGACAGAUCACACGGUCAAGAUAGCACCUGAAGAGAGUCAGCCAGUCUGCAUACAAUGGAGAAAGUUCAGAACCCAACCUCCCGCCUUGAUGAUUCAAUGAGAUUCCUCCCCCCAUUUUUCCUUUUAAAAGCUGUCAUGGCUGAGCAGAUUCUUCAGAGUUGGUCCCUAGACACGAGUUCACCUUUUCCCCAAGAUUGCUGGCUUUUCUGAUGAAAGCACCUUUCCUUUCUACUCCACACCCAGAGCCUCUGGAAUUAUUGGCUUUUGAGCAGCAAGCAGCUCAACCCUAGUUCAGUAACACUGCAAUGUCAGGUAAAAUGUUUGCUGUUU
RNAcentral lists this long non-coding RNA (6549 nucleotides) under Sus scrofa (pig). RNAcentral describes it as "lncRNA (ENSSSCG00000056666.1, ENSSSCG00105026192.1, ENSSSCG00110012942.1)". Lineage: Eukaryota; Metazoa; Chordata; Mammalia; Artiodactyla; Suidae. The record is from RNAcentral.